This 252-nucleotide ribosomal RNA is filed under the name uncultured bacterium. RNAcentral's name for it is "partial 16S ribosomal RNA". It matches the Rfam family "Bacterial small subunit ribosomal RNA", at positions 524 to 776 of the family's 1533-position model. The record is from RNAcentral.
UACGUAGGUGGCGAGCGUUAAUCGGAUUUACUGGGCGUAAAGGGUCCGUAGGGGUCUGCCAAGUCGGGUGUGAAAUGUCGCGGCUCAACCGCGGGACUGCACUCGAUACUGGCGGGCUUGAGUCCGCAAGGGGUGAACGGAAUUCCUGGUGUAGCGGUGGAAUGCGUAGAUAUCAGGAAGAACACCGAUGGCGAAAGCGGUUCACUGGUGCGGCACUGACCCUGAGGGACGAAAGCGUGGGUAGCAAACAGG